Molecule: transfer RNA, 67 nt
Filed under: Catara rugosicollis
Lineage: Eukaryota; Metazoa; Arthropoda; Insecta; Blattodea; Blattidae
Description: tRNA-Ser
Rfam family: tRNA
About the family: Transfer RNA (tRNA) molecules are approximately 80 nucleotides in length. Their secondary structure includes four short double-helical elements and three loops (D, anti-codon, and T loops). Further hydrogen bonds mediate the characteristic L-shaped molecular structure. tRNAs have two regions of fundamental functional importance: the anti-codon, which is responsible for specific mRNA codon recognition, and the 3' end, to which the tRNAs corresponding amino acid is attached (by aminoacyl-tRNA synthetases). tRNAs cope with the degeneracy of the genetic code in two manners: having more than one tRNA (with a specific anti-codon) for a particular amino acid; and 'wobble' base-pairing, i.e. permitting non-standard base-pairing at the 3rd anti-codon position.
Source: RNAcentral
AGUUAAAAAGCUUAUUAAGCAUAUGUUUUGAAAGCAUAAGUAAGAAGUUAAAUACUUCUAUUAACUU